Molecule: transfer RNA, 75 nt
Filed under: Clostridiaceae bacterium
Lineage: Bacteria; Bacillati; Bacillota; Clostridia; Eubacteriales; Clostridiaceae
Description: tRNA-Arg
Rfam family: tRNA
About the family: Transfer RNA (tRNA) molecules are approximately 80 nucleotides in length. Their secondary structure includes four short double-helical elements and three loops (D, anti-codon, and T loops).
Source: RNAcentral
GUCCCGAUGGUCCAAUGGAUAAGACAGUAGAUUCCGGUUCUACCAAUGUGGGUUCGAUUCCUACUCGGGACGCCA